AUUGAACGCUGGCGGCAUGCUUUACACAUGCAAGUCGAACGGUAACAGGCCUUCGGGUGCUGACGAGUGGCGCACGGGUGAGUAAUGCAUCGGAACGUGCCCAGAGGUGGGGGAUAACGCAGCGAAAGCUGUGCUAAUACCGCAUGUGAUCUGAGGAUGAAAGCGGGGGACCAGGCAGCAAUGUUUGGCCUCGCGCCUUUGGAGCGGCCGAUGUCAGAUUAGGUAGUUGGUGGGGUAAAGGCCUACCAAGCCGACGAUCUGUAGCUGGUCUGAGAGGACGACCAGCCACACUGGGACUGAGACACGGCCCAGACGCCUACGGGAGGCAGCAGUGGGGAAUUUUGGACAAUGGGCGCAAGCCUGAUCCAGCAAUGCCGCGUGCGGGAAGAAGGCCUUCGGGUUGUAAACCGCUUUUGUACGGAACGAAAAGGCUCUGGCUAAUACCUGGGGCUGAUGACGGUACCGUAAGAAUAAGCACCGGCUAACUACGUG
This 492-nucleotide ribosomal RNA is filed under the name uncultured bacterium. RNAcentral's name for it is "partial 16S ribosomal RNA". It matches the Rfam family "Bacterial small subunit ribosomal RNA", at positions 30 to 507 of the family's 1533-position model. The record is from RNAcentral.